CACAGGUGAUGUGGAGUCAGGCCUCCCUAAACAGGAUCAAGGCACCACCGUGGAGAGAAUGAGCUGCCCGGCCCCUGGCAGGAUGAGACACGCAUCAGAGCUUGUCUGGGCAUGAGAAAUAUGAUCGUAUCAUGAUGCUGGUCUUAUCAAGAGCGCCUUCAUACACUGCCUUUUCCCCUCCAUCAGCAUCUCACCCUCCUCCCAUUCUCCUGAAUGAGCUACGCUGACAACCUACUGUGAAGAAGUUCAGAUUACCAGUUAUCGGGUCUUUCAAACGUCUUGUUUGUCAAAGUUUUGAGUGAAGACAUCAAUUACAAUGAACAAAACGUGAAAGAGAACUUGUAUCCCCAGAGCGCUACUUUUUCCAUAAUCAGUA
Long non-coding RNA from Balaenoptera acutorostrata (minke whale), 376 nucleotides. RefSeq lists it as uncharacterized. The transcript is spliced from 3 exons. Lineage: Eukaryota; Metazoa; Chordata; Mammalia; Artiodactyla; Balaenopteridae. The record is from RefSeq and is a predicted model, not a curated record.